RNAcentral lists this ribosomal RNA (732 nucleotides) under Salinibacterium amurskyense. RNAcentral describes it as "bacterial SSU rRNA". It matches the Rfam family "Bacterial small subunit ribosomal RNA", at positions 66 to 808 of the family's 1533-position model. Lineage: Bacteria; Bacillati; Actinomycetota; Actinomycetes; Micrococcales; Microbacteriaceae. The record is from RNAcentral.
ACGAUGAAGCCGGAGCUUGCUCUGGUGGAUUAGUGGCGAACGGGUGAGUAACACGUGAGUAACCUGCCCCUUGACUCUGGAAUAAGCGUUGGAAACGACGUCUAAUACUGGAUACGAGCUUCAGCCGCAUGGCUAGGAGCUGGAAAGAAUUUCGGUCAAGGAUGGACUCGCGGCCUAUCAGGUAGUUGGUGAGGUAAUGGCUCACCAAGCCUACGACGGGUAGCCGGCCUGAGAGGGUGACCGGCCACACUGGAACUGAGACACGGUCCAGACUCCUACGGGAGGCAGCAGUGGGGAAUAUUGCACAAUGGGCGAAAGCCUGAUGCAGCAACGCCGCGUGAGGGACGACGGCCUUCGGGUUGUAAACCUCUUUUAGUAGGGAAGAAGCGAAAGUGACGGUACCUGCAGAAAAAGCACCGGCUAACUACGUGCCAGCAGCCGCGGUAAUACGUAGGGUGCAAGCGUUAUCCGGAAUUAUUGGGCGUAAAGAGCUCGUAGGCGGUUUGUCGCGUCUGCUGUGAAAACUGGAGGCUCAACCUCCAGCCUGCAGUGGGUACGGGCAGACUAGAGUGCGGUAGGGGAGAUUGGAAUUCCUGGUGUAGCGGUGGAAUGCGCAGAUAUCANGAGGAACACCAAUGGCGAANGCAGAUCUCUGGGCCGUAACUGACGCUGAGGAGCGAAAGCAUGGGGAGCGAACAGGAUUAGAUACCCUGGUAGUCCAUGCCGUAAACG